CACGUGAGCAACCUACCCUUGACACUGGGAUAACAGUUGGAAACAGCUGCUAAUACCGGAUACGAACUCAGCAGGCAUCUGCCGAGUUGGAAAGCUCCGACGGUCAAGGAUGGGCUCGCGGCCUAUCAGCUUGUUGGUGAGGUAACGGCUCACCAAGGCGAAGACGGGUAGCCGGCCUGAGAGGGCGAUCGGCCACACUGGAACUGAGAUACGAUCCAGACUCCUACGGGAGGCAGCAGUGGGGAAUAUUGGGCAAUGGGCGCAAGCCUGACCCAGCGACGCCGCGUGAGGGAAGAAGGCCCUUGGGUCGUAAACCUCUGUUGUAUGGGAAGAAGGACGUGACGGUACCAUACGAGGAAGUCCCGGCUAACUACGUG
RNAcentral lists this ribosomal RNA (377 nucleotides) under uncultured bacterium. Its description in RNAcentral is "bacterial SSU rRNA". It matches the Rfam family "Bacterial small subunit ribosomal RNA", at positions 114 to 507 of the family's 1533-position model. The record is from RNAcentral.